This 515-nucleotide ribosomal RNA is filed under the name uncultured Glomus. RNAcentral's name for it is "SSU rRNA". It matches the Rfam family "Eukaryotic small subunit ribosomal RNA", at positions 569 to 1090 of the family's 1831-position model. The record is from RNAcentral. Lineage: Eukaryota; Fungi; Glomeromycota; Glomeromycetes; Glomerales; Glomeraceae.
AGCAGCCGCGGUAAUUCCAGCUCCAAUAGCGUAUAUUAAAGUUGUUGCAGUUAAAAAGCUCGUAGUUGAAUUUCGGGACUAAUAUGUCGGUCGUACUUUGUACGUACUAGCAUUAUUGGUUUCUCCCUUCUGACGAACCACGAUGUCAUUAAUUUGGUGUCAUGGGAAAUCAGGACUGUUACUUUGAAAAAUUAGAGUGUUUAAAGCAAGCUCGCGCUUGAAUACAUUAGCAUGGAAUAAUGAAAUAGGACGUUUGAUUCUAUUUUGUUGGUUUCUAGGAUCGACGUAAUGAUUAAUAGGGAUAGUUGGGGGCAUUAGUAUUCAAUUGUCAGAGGUGAAAUUCUUGGAUUUAUUGAAGACUAACUACUGCGAAAGCAUUUGCCAAGGAUGUUUUCAUUAAUCAAGAACGAAAGUUAGGGGAUCGAAGACGAUCAGAUACCGUCGUAGUCUUAACCAUAAACUAUGCCGACUAGGGAUCGGAUGAUGUUAAUUUUUAUGACUCAUUCGGCGCCUUA